AACGAACGCUGGCGGCAUGCCUAACACAUGCAAGUCGAACGAGACCUUCGGGUCUAGUGGCGCACGGGUGCGUAACGCGUGGGAACCUGCCCUUAGGUUCGGAAUAACUCCCCGAAAGGGGUGCUAAUACCGGAUAAUGUCUUCGGACCAAAGAUUUAUCGCCUUUGGAUGGGCCCGCGUUGGAUUAGCUAGUUGGUAGGGUAAAAGCCUACCAAGGCGACGAUCCAUAGCUGGUCUGAGAGGAUGAUCAGCCACACUGGGACUGAGACACGGCCCAGACUCCUACGGGAGGCAGCAGUGGGGAAUAUUGGACAAUGGGCUAAAGCCUGAUCCAGCAAUGCCGCGUGAGUGAUGAAGGCCUUAGGGUUGUAAAGCUCUUUUACCCGGGAUGAUAAUGACAGUACCGGGAGAAUAAGCUCCGACUAACUCCGUG
This 433-nucleotide ribosomal RNA is filed under the name uncultured bacterium. RNAcentral's name for it is "partial 16S ribosomal RNA". It matches the Rfam family "Bacterial small subunit ribosomal RNA", at positions 29 to 507 of the family's 1533-position model. The record is from RNAcentral.